RNAcentral lists this ribosomal RNA (465 nucleotides) under Vreelandella stevensii. Its description in RNAcentral is "partial 16S ribosomal RNA". It matches the Rfam family "Bacterial small subunit ribosomal RNA", at positions 338 to 795 of the family's 1533-position model. Lineage: Bacteria; Pseudomonadati; Pseudomonadota; Gammaproteobacteria; Oceanospirillales; Halomonadaceae. The record is from RNAcentral.
CCUACGGGUGGCUGCAGUGGGGAAUAUUGGACAAUGGGCGAAAGCCUGAUCCAGCCAUGCCGCGUGUGUGAAGAAGGCCUUCGGGUUGUAAAGCACUUUCAGUGGGGAAGAAAGCCUUGGGGCUAAUACCCUCGAGGAAGGACAUCACCCACAGAAGAAGCACCGGCUAACUCCGUGCCAGCAGCCGCGGUAAUACGGAGGGUGCGAGCGUUAAUCGGAAUUACUGGGCGUAAAGCGCGCGUAGGCGGUCUGAUAAGCCGGUUGUGAAAGCCCCGGGCUCAACCUGGGAACGGCAUCCGGAACUGUCAGGCUAGAGUGCAGGAGAGGAAGGUCGAAUUCCCGGUGUAGCGGUGAAAUGCGUAGAGAUCGGGAGGAAUACCAGUGGCGAAGGCGGCCUUCUGGACUGACACUGACGCUGAGGUGCGAAAGCGUGGGUAGCAAACAGGAUUAGAUACCCGGGUAGUC